UACGAAGGGGGCUAGCGUUGCUCGGAAUCACUGGGCGUAAAGCGCACGUAGGCGGCUUCUUAAGUCAGGGGUGAAAUCCUGGAGCUCAACUCCAGAACUGCCUUUGAUACUGAGGAGCUUGAGUCCGGGAGAGGUGAGUGGAACUGCGAGUGUAGAGGUGAAAUUCGUAGAUAUUCGCAAGAACACCAGUGGCGAAGGCGGCUCACUGGCCCGGUACUGACGCUGAGGCACGAAAGCGUGGGGAGCAAACAGG
This 253-nucleotide ribosomal RNA is filed under the name uncultured bacterium. RNAcentral's name for it is "partial 16S ribosomal RNA". It matches the Rfam family "Bacterial small subunit ribosomal RNA", at positions 524 to 776 of the family's 1533-position model. The record is from RNAcentral.